RNAcentral lists this ribosomal RNA (253 nucleotides) under uncultured bacterium. RNAcentral describes it as "partial 16S ribosomal RNA". It matches the Rfam family "Bacterial small subunit ribosomal RNA", at positions 524 to 776 of the family's 1533-position model. The record is from RNAcentral.
UACGGGGGGGGCAAGCGUUGUUCGGAAUUACUGGGCGUAAAGGGCUCGUAGGCGGCCAACUAAGUCAGACGUGAAAUCCCUCGGCUUAACCGGGGAACUGCAUCUGAUACUGGAUGGCUUGAGUUCGGGAGAGGGAUGCGGAAUUCCAGGUGUAGCGGUGGAAUGCGUAGAGAUCGGGAAGAAUACCUGUGGCGAAGGCGGCCAGCUGGGCCAGGUCCGACGCUGAGGCGCGAAAGCGUGGGGAGCAAACAGG